GCCUAAAGCGUCCGUAGCCGGCUUUGUAAGUUUUCGGUUAAAUCUAUAUGCUCAACAUAUAGGCCGCCGGGAAUACUGCAAAGCUAGGGAGUGGGAGAGGUAGACGGUACUCCGUAGGAAGGGGUAAAAUCCUUUGAUCUAUGGAUGACCACCUGUGGCGAAGGCGGUCUACCAGAACACGUUCGACGGUGAGGGAUGAAAGCUGGGGGAGCAAACCGGAUUAGAUACCCGGGUAGUCCCAGCUGUAAACUAUGCAAACUCAGUGAUGCAUUGGCUUGUGGCCAGUGCAGUGCCGCAGAGAAGUCGUUAAGUUUGCCGCCUGGGAAGUACGUACGCAAGUAUGAAACUUAAAGGAAUUGGCGGGGGAGCACCACAAGGGGUGAAGCCUGCGGUUCAAUUGGAGUCAACGCCAGAAAUCUUACCCGAAGAGACAGCAGGAUGAAGGUCAAGCUGAAGACUUUACCAGACAAGCUGAGAAGUGGUGCAUGGCCGUCGCCAGCUCGUGCCGUGAGGUGUCCUGUUAAGUCAGGUAACGAGCGAGAUCCUUGCCUCUAGUUGCUACCAUUACUCUCUGGAGCAGUGGGGCGAAUUAGCGGGACCGCCGCAGUUAAUGCGGAGGAAGGAAAGGGCUACGGCAGGUCAGUAUGCCCCGAA
RNAcentral lists this ribosomal RNA (654 nucleotides) under uncultured archaeon. RNAcentral describes it as "bacterial SSU rRNA". It matches the Rfam family "Archaeal small subunit ribosomal RNA", at positions 508 to 1160 of the family's 1478-position model. The record is from RNAcentral.